Molecule: ribosomal RNA, 491 nt
Filed under: uncultured bacterium
Lineage: Bacteria
Description: partial 16S ribosomal RNA
Rfam family: Bacterial small subunit ribosomal RNA
Source: RNAcentral
AGUGAACGCUGGCGGUAGGCCUAACACAUGCAAGUCGAACGGCAGCACAGUAAGAGCUUGCUCUUACGGGUGGCGAGUGGCGGACGGGUGAGGAAUACAUCGGAAUCUACUUUUUCGUGGGGGAUAACGUAGGGAAACUUACGCUAAUACCGCAUACGACCUACGGGUGAAAGCAGGGGAUCUUCGGACCUUGCGCGAUUGAAUGAGCCGAUGUCGGAUUAGCUAGUUGGCGGGGUAAAGGCCCACCAAGGCGACGAUCCGUAGCUGGUCUGAGAGGAUGAUCACCCCCCCUGGAUGUGGAACACGUUCCAGAUUCCUACGGCAGCCAGCGGUGGGAAUUAUUGGCAAAUGGGCGCAAGCCUCAUCCACCCAUCCCGCGUGGGUGAAGAAGGCCUUCGGGUUUUAAAGCCCUUUUGUUGGGAAAGAAAAGCGGCAGGUUAAACCCCCGCUGUUCUGUCGUUCCCCAAAGACUAUGCCCCGGCUAACUUCGU